This 270-nucleotide ribosomal RNA is filed under the name uncultured bacterium. Its description in RNAcentral is "partial 16S ribosomal RNA". It matches the Rfam family "Bacterial small subunit ribosomal RNA", at positions 28 to 295 of the family's 1533-position model. The record is from RNAcentral.
GAUGAACGCUAGCGGCAGGCUUAAUACAUGCAAGUCGAACGGUAACAGGUGUAGCAAUACAUGCUGACGAGUGGCAGACGGGUGAGGAACACGUACGCAAUCUUCCUCUUUCUGGUGAAUAGCCCUGAGAAAUUAGGAUUAAUACACCAUAGUAUUACGAAACGGCAUCGUUUUGUAAUUAAAACUCCGGUGGAAAGAGAUGAGCGUGCGUCUGAUUAGCUAGUUGGUAAGGUAACGGCUUACCAAGGCAACGAUCAGUAACUGGUGUGA